Molecule: ribosomal RNA, 490 nt
Filed under: uncultured bacterium
Lineage: Bacteria
Description: partial 16S ribosomal RNA
Rfam family: Bacterial small subunit ribosomal RNA
Source: RNAcentral
AUUGAACGCUGGCGGCAUGCUUUACACAUGCAAGUCGGGCGGCAGCACAGAGAAGCUUGCUUCUUGGGUGGCGAGUGGCGAACGGGUGAGUAAUAUAUCGGAACGUACCGAGUAAUGGGGGAUAACUAAUCGAAAGAUUAGCUAAUACCGCAUAUUCUCUGAGGAGGAAAGCAGGGGACCUUCGGGCCUUGCGUUAUUCGAGCGGCCGAUAUCUGAUUAGCUAGUUGGUGGGGUAAAGGCCUACCAAGGCGACGAUCAGUAGCGGGUCUGAGAGGAUGAUCCGCCACACUGGGACUGAGACACGGCCCAGACUCCUACGGGAGGCAGCAGUGGGGAAUUUUGGACAAUGGGCGCAAGCCUGAUCCAGCCAUGCCGCGUGUCUGAAGAAGGCCUUCGGGUUGUAAAGGACUUUUGUCAGGGAAGAAAAGGCUGUUGCUAAUACCGACAGCUGAUGACGGUACCUGAAGAAUAAGCACCGGCUAACUACGUG